CAGGAAGGGACCGCCCCCAACAGGUCCAGAACUGAGGUGAUGUGUGGCCGUAGCCAUCACAGGCUGUAAACAGGAUCGUGCUGGAGAACAAGAUCACAACAUCAAGGACAGUAAAGCCAUGACUGACCAAGUCUCAGCUCCAGGCUUUUUGGGCUCCGGUGUAGUACAUGGCUGCCACCUGGCUGUACAGAGUGAGGCUACGAGGAGACCUGCACUUGUUCUUCAUGAUGAUGGAAAGCAUGACAUCCUGACCGACACAUGGUCCGUCA
Long non-coding RNA from Cyprinus carpio (common carp), 269 nucleotides. RefSeq lists it as uncharacterized. The transcript has 3 exons. NCBI's taxonomy places the organism in Eukaryota, Metazoa, Chordata, Actinopteri, Cypriniformes, Cyprinidae. The record is from RefSeq and is a predicted model, not a curated record.